RNAcentral lists this ribosomal RNA (477 nucleotides) under Rhopalomerus tenuirostris. RNAcentral describes it as "partial 16S ribosomal RNA". It matches the Rfam family "Bacterial large subunit ribosomal RNA", at positions 1832 to 2566 of the family's 2925-position model. The record is from RNAcentral. Lineage: Eukaryota; Metazoa; Arthropoda; Insecta; Coleoptera; Brachyceridae.
CUUUUGACUAUAAUUUAAGGUCUAACCUGCCCAAUGAUUUUUAAUUAAAUGGCCGCGGUAUCUUGACCGUGCAAAGGUAGCAUAAUCAUUAGUUUUUUAAUUGAAAGCUGGUAUGAAAGGUUGAAUGAGAAAAUAGCUGUCUCUUUUUAAAUUUUUUAGAAUUUUAUUUUUAAGUAAAAAAGCUUAAAUGUUUAUAGAAGACGAGAAGACCCUAUAGAGUUUUAUAAAUUGUUGUAACUAAAUUUUUUAGUAUUUUAAGAUUAGUUUUUUCACUUUAUUUGAUUGGGGUGAUUAAAAAAUUUAAUAAACUUUUUUUUUAUUAUUACAUUUAUUUAUGACUAUAUGAUCCUUUCUUUAAGAUUAUAAGAAUAAAUUACCUUAGGGAUAACAGCGUAAUUUUUUUUGAGAGUUCUAAUCGAAAAAAAAGAUUGCGACCUCGAUGUUGGAUUAAAAUUAAUUUCUGGUGNAGAAGCUUGA